Molecule: ribosomal RNA, 762 nt
Filed under: uncultured bacterium
Lineage: Bacteria
Description: bacterial SSU rRNA
Rfam family: Bacterial small subunit ribosomal RNA
Source: RNAcentral
GGGUGGCGACCGGCAAACGGGUGCGGAACACGUACGCAACCUUCCUUCAAGCGGGGAAUAGCCCAGAGAAAUUUGGAUUAAUACCCCAUAGGAAUGUAGUCUCGCAUGAGACAGCAUUUAAAGAUUUAUCACUUGAAGAUGGGCGUGCGUCUGAUUAGGUAGUUGGUGAGGUAACGGCUCACCAAGCCGACGAUCAGUAACUGGCGUGAGAGCGCGACCAGUCACACGGGCACUGAGACACGGGCCCGACUCCUACGGGAGGCAGCAGUAAGGAAUAUUGGUCAAUGGACGCAAGUCUGAACCAGCCAUGCCGCGUGGAGGAUGAAUGCCCUCUGGGUUGUAAACUUCUUUUAUCUGGGACGAAACACUUCUUAUCCAAGGAGCUUGACGGUACCAGAUGAAUAAGCACCGGCUAACUCCGUGCCAGCAGCCGCGGUAAUACGGAGGGUGCAAGCGUUAUCCGGAUUCACUGGGUUUAAAGGGUGCGUAGGCGGAUAUGUAAGUCUGUGGUGAAAUCUCUGAGCUUAACUCAGAAACUGCCGUGGAUACUAUAUGUCUUGAAUGUUGUGGAGGUUAGCGGAAUAUGUCAUGUAGCAGUGAAAUGCUUAGAUAUGACAUAGAACACCGAUUGCGAAGGCAGCUGGCUACACAACUAUUGACGCUGAGGCACGAAAGCGUGGGGAUCAAACAGGAUUAGAUACCCUGGUAGUCCACGCCCUAAACGAUGGAUACUCGACAUUUGCGAUAUAUUGUAAGUGUCUG